This 1719-nucleotide long non-coding RNA is filed under the name Glycine max (soybean). RNAcentral's name for it is "long non-coding RNA (GMAX_LNC003232)". The record is from RNAcentral. Lineage: Eukaryota; Viridiplantae; Streptophyta; Magnoliopsida; Fabales; Fabaceae.
AGGAAAAGGCAUGGAAGAAGCUUUGAUUAGCAUAGAAUGAAUUAGCUUACAAGAGUUUGUUAUUACAAUGGAUUAUAUAGUUCGUUACAGGAAUAACUAACUUACAACUAACUAAGCUAACUCUGGUUACAUUAUGAUCAAGUUAAAAUAACCAUGAUCAAGUCUAUAUCUAUGCUAAGAGCCCUCUUCAAGUUAGGAAUGGAUGUUGGACAUUCCUAGCUUGGAAUGUAAGAAAAAAAAUGAAAAGCACCAGGCAUGAGAGCCUUGGUGUAGAUAUAUGCAAGCUGGUUUGCAGAGGAAACAAGAAGUCAUUUCACUAGUCAUUGAAUCAUCUUCUCUCGAAUUAUGUGACAAUCAAUCUCAAUGUACAUAACUCCUAGAAGUCUUCAACCUACUUUCGGCCCCCUUUGAACUUCUUUUGGCGUCUCCGUGAAACUCACUCCAACAUAAUCAAGAACCCCAAUAUUAUGAGUAACUAUCAAAUGCCAAAUUAGACAAGCAAAACUUAACCACCAAGCAAAAGCCACAACUCAAGACUAAACCACUUGGCAGAAGCUAUAAUCCAGAAAACAACUAAUACUUAAUCACCAUAAGGCAUAAGCUAAAACCAUCUCAAUGCUUAACUAUCCAUGACAGAAGCUCAAUACAAUUCUUAACCACCAUGGACAAAAACCCACAUCAACAAGAACCACCAAUAGCCAUAACAGACUGAAACAAAUCAUCAUCAAUAAUAGGAAAAGGACUGAAACCAUGAUUGCAGCUUCAAAGAGACAGAACAUGUCAACAGCCAAACUCCUUGAACAGAAGCUUCACUAAGUAUGAAAACCAGAGAGAACAAACAUGAAGACCGGUGCAUUUCAUCACUUCAUUAAAAAAAAAAAAAAGACUUAUCCCAUGACAAAAGGAUUGCACAUCUCAAACCUUAGCCUUCAAUCAAUAAAUCUCGAAUUUGCUCAAUUAACAAUAGUUAUUGUUUCAAUCAGAUCUCAGAAGAAUAAGAACAAAACAAUAGAUGGCAGUGUACAUGGGAACAGUGGAAUCAGAGUAAACAACAACAAAAAUGAGAAAACAGAGUCCAACCAUGAAGAAUCCGCACUCACAGCAAGCACAAAAAAUCCACCAUGUGACUGAAAUCAAGAACGUAGAAAGCCAAAACUAAUAAACUUCGAUGGAACGGCUCAUAUUCAAUGGUGGCUGGAAAUUGCCUCCCAUGGCCGAGUAUGGCAGCACUCAUGAUGGUGAUGACAAACCAAGAACCUAAUCGGUGGGUUGUGAUGCAGAAGAUGUGCUGAAACUUUCUAUCAAAUUAGUUUUCAUUUUCCAUCUAAUGGUCGCCCAGAAAUGACAUUGUCAUCGGCGAGCAAGGGUUUUAUGGUUUUUAGAAAUUGGGGAAAGUGUAGUUAAUAAAGAAGAAGACAAGGUUUCAAUUGGAGCUUUCCUUAGGAAAAGAAAAAAAAAUCAAAGACGAACAAAUACAUAAAAGGUGAAGGAUUAGUAAAAAGAUACUAUGAUGGGUACCAUGUUAGAAUUCAUAGUAUACAGGAGAGAAAAGAGAGGAAAAGGCAUGGAAGAUGUUGCAUGUCUCACAUUGGGUGGUUAACGAGCAUGGUAAGUGCUUAUAUAGCUGGGUAGGUCACCCCCUUAUGAAUCGGUUUUUAAGGAGAUCUUUCGAAUGUGUCUGACCGAACUUUAACAGAAAAAACUUUGAUUAGCACAAAA